RNAcentral lists this long non-coding RNA (6730 nucleotides) under Triticum aestivum (bread wheat). RNAcentral describes it as "long non-coding RNA (TAES_LNC004113)". The record is from RNAcentral. Lineage: Eukaryota; Viridiplantae; Streptophyta; Magnoliopsida; Poales; Poaceae.
GCUGACUGCUGCCAGCUGCCACCCAGCAACGGUGAGCUCUCCUUCCAUCCAUCCAUUUUUUUUUCCUUUCCCGUAUUACUCCAUGGAUACUGUGAUUGAUGCAGCUGUGCGACUGUGUUGACUGCCUAGAUAAUUUAUCACUGGGCGGAUUUAUGUGGCAAACUCGCGGCGGUGUAGCCUUGCAAUUGAUGGCCCAUUGGUUUAGUUUCACUGUAUCUUGUUCGUAGUUGCUACUGCGGCAAGUUGAAUCACAGGGAUCGAUUCUAGUUCUGAACCUACUCCACUUGGUUGAGUAAACGGCUACGAAUAUUCAUGGGGUAAUUCACGCAAUUCAGAUUUCUGCUGCUUAUAGCUUCAUUGCAGAAAAUUCCCGUGAUUUAUUAUUUUUGCAUAUGAACAUUUUGGCAUACUUAUUGUGCUUAUGAACCUGGCUGAAAUUCUGAAUCACUUGUGUUUUUGGUUCAGAGUUUUUGCUGAAACAACUAAACCAAAUGUACAUAUACCUCCGAAAGAUGGAGACCGUUACGUGGUCAUCUCAUGUCUAUUGCAAAUUGUUGAAGCAAAUUAGCUCUGUGAUGUGACAACAUCUCUUCUUCUUCCUCUGAAAUCUACAACACCAUAUCCUAGCUAAGUCGGUCACCGUGCCAUCCUAAGGAUCACAGGCUGGUGCACCCUUUUGCUCUCAAUCUGAAACCUCACCAACCUCGUGUCAAACUCCUUGAACCGAGCCAGAUCGGAUCCGCUCGAUGUUGACGACACCGCCAUCCCGGAGUAUGAGUUUGAGGACUUGCCCACUUGCUUGCCCUUGUGGCUUCUGCUGCUCCCGGUUGCUACGGUGAGCUCAAGGUUGCAUUCUUCUGCAGCAGAGGCAGGGAUCCAGCUGUUUGAGAAGCUGUAGAGUUGCUGACGGUCGGUAGCCUUGUCGUCACGCCAGACCUCGAGUUUAUGUUUUGUCUCAGCGUGAGCCUGGUUCAGCCCAGCUAUCUGCAUCUCCCUCAUCACUUGUUUCUGAACAUGGUAAACUCGGUGAAUCUCAUGAACCUGGUUCAGCAAAGAUGUGGAGAUUGGUGAGAAGCUUUUUCGCCUAUCUUGAAAUGCACAACUAAUGCAGUACUGCUUCUUAGAAACUAGUCUUAAUGUCUCAACUACUUGCUUCUACUCUAUUUCCUGUCACCUAUUAUUAUUCGUACAUCCAUCAACUGGAUAUAUAAUGGGAUGCAAAGAGAGCAUGGUGCAACCUAGCAGUACUUAGGAAGUCACCCUGAGCAAAGAGUUCCCCCUGUUUGCACGGUAGGAGACACCAAACUGCAGGCUACAUAGGCUGGUUUGGACUAUAUUUUGGGAAUGAGUGGCAUCAGGAUAUAGCCUCUUUCAGGCCAGUGAGCUCAGUGGGCUACAUAUUUAGUCUCAACCCAUGUCCAACCUGUAAGGACAGUAUUUGAUGGGAACACUCCUAUUACUAUUAAAACAUGGGUAUGCUCACAUUUGUUGAUGCAUUGGAGAAAUUAACUUAUGUGUUAAGGUGUUGCAUGUUCUGGUUAGUUCCCCGACUAUGGAGAGCUACAUACACACCCACGAAAUUGUCCAGGGAAAAGUUUGCGAUGAUGCCUGAUGACCGGCUGUAUACUGGAAGCGUGUCCGAUGUUCUACUGGAAGAUGCACACAUAGGUAGAAUAGUGUUUACACGAGUGUGUUGCCUUACCUGUUGUCUGAAUGUUUGUUCUUGCCCCAAGAUAACCAUCUUCAUCUCCUCUCUGUCCAUCUCUUGGAAAAUGCUAGCCGCAAGUCUUUCUGUGUCUAUCUCCAAUCUGCUUCAUGGGAAUUUCAGAAUGAAUACGGCAUGCAAUUUCUGUCGUAAAUGGUAAUAAUAGGAUCUGUCUUCAGUGUUGAAAUAUUUGUUGUAGUGCCUUGUUCUGUUAAUUGGUAGCUUUCAGUACGACCUAUGUACUUAUGUCCUUCCGGAAGAAAAGAAAAAAACGUCUGGAUUAUUUUCUGUGGAGAAACCAAUUUUCAUUAUUUUUCUGUGGAGAAACCAACUUACUCCGCUUGGUUGAGUAAACGGCUACGAAUAUUCAUGUGGUAAUUCACGCAAUUCAAAAAUCUGUUGUGUUAUACUCCCUCCAUUCCAAAAUAUAGUGCGCCCGCGCUUUCCGAGGUCGAACUUUGACCAUAAAUUUAACGAACGAGACCGACUGCGGCGGGUGAAAAAAUUACAUAAUUAAAAACUUCUUUCGAAUACGAAUUCACUGAUAUAAUUUUUGCUCCCGCCGCAAUCGGUCUUGGUAGUUAAAUUUACGGUCAAAGUUGAAGCACGGAGAUAGAGGAAGCACUACAUUGUGGAAUGGAGGGAGUAGCUUCACUGCAGAAAAGUCCAGUGAGUUGUUACUUUUGCAUAUUAACAUUUUAGCAUACUUGCCGUGCUUAUGAACGUGGCUGAAAUUCUGAAUCAAUCGUGUUCUUUGUUCAGAGGUUUUGCCGAAACAACUAAAUUAGAUGUUACAUAUGGCUCUGAAAGAUGGAGACCGUUACGCGGUCAUCUCUUGUCUAUUGCAAAUUGUUGAAGCAAAUUAGCUCUAUGACAUGACAACAUCUCUUCUUCUUUCUCUGAAAUCUACAACACCAAAUCCUAGCUAAGUCGGUCACCGUGCCACCCUAAGGAUCACAGGGUGUACGGCCAAGGAGACUGAUUCGUCUCAUCGGCAAUGGUAACCUCUUGCUCUCGGUCACCUCACCACCCUUUUGUCAAACUCCUUGAACUGAGCCAGAUCGGAUUCGGUCGAUGUUGACGACACCGUCAUCCCGGAGUCUGAGUUUGAGGACUUGCCCACUUGCUUGCCCUUGUGGCUUCUGCUGCUCCCGGUUGCUAGAGUGAGCUCAAGGUUGCAUUCUUCUGCAGCAGAGGCAGGGAUGCAGUUGUUUGAGAAGCUGUAGAGUUGCUGACGGUUGGUGGCCCUGUCAUCGCACCAGACCUCGAGUUUAGGUUUCGUCUUAGCGUGAGCCUGGUUCAGCCCAGCUAUCUGCAUCUCCCUCAUCAGUUGUUUCUGAACACGGUAAACUCGAUGCAUCUCAUGAACCUGGUUCAGCAAAGAUGUGCAGAUUUGGUGAGAAGCUUUUUCACCUAUCUUGAAAUGCACAACUAAUGCAGUACUGCUUCUUAGAAACUAGUCUUAAUGUCUCAACUACUUGCUUCUACUCUACCUGUCACCUAUUAUUAUUCGUACAUCCAUCAACUGGAUAUAUAAUGGGAUGCAAAGAGAGCAUGGUGCAACCUAGCAGUACUUAGGAAGUCACACUCACACCCUGAGCAAAGAGUUUCCCCUCUUUGCAUGGUAGGAGACACCAAACUGCAGGCUACGGAGGCUGGUUUGGACUAAAAUUUGGGAAUGAGUGGCAUCAGGAUAUAGCCUCUUUCAGGCCAGUGAACUCAGUGGGCUACACCUUCAGUCUUAACCCAUGUCCAACCUAUAAGGACGGUAUUAGAUGGGAACACUCCUAUUACUGUUAAAACAUGGAUAUGCUCACAUUUGUUGAUGCACUGAAGAAAUUAACCUUUCAGAAUGAGUACGGCAUGCAAUUUCUGUGGUAAAUUGUAAUAAUAGGAUCUGUCUUCAGUGUUGAAAUAUUUGUUGUAGUGCCUUGUUCCAUUAAUUGGCGGCUUUCAGUACGACCUAUGUACUUAUGUCCUUCAGGAAGAAAAGAAAAACGUCUGGAUUAUUUUCUGUGGAGAAACCAACUUACUCGGCUUGGUUGAGUAAACAACUACGAAUUCAUGUCAUAGUUCAUGCAAUUCAAAAAUCUAUUGUGUUAUAGCUUCACUGCAGAAAAGUCCAGUGAGUUGUUACUUUUGCAUAUUAACAUUUUAGCAUACUUGUCGUGCUUAUGAACGUGGCUGGAAUUCUGAAUCAAUUGUGUUCUUUGUUCAGAGGUUUUGCCGAAACAACUAAAUUAGAUGUUACAUAUGUUUGUUCUUUGUUCAGAGGUUUUGCCGAAACAACUAAAUUAGAUGUUGCAUAUGCCUCCGGAAGAUGGAGACCUCUUGUCUAUUGCAAAUUGUUGGAGCAAAUUUGCUCUGUGAAGUGACAACAUCUCUUCUUCUUUCUCUGAAAUCUACAACGCCAAACCCUAGCUAAGUCGGUCACCGUGCCACCCUAAGGAUCACAGGCUGGUACGGCCAAGGAGACCGAUUCGUCUCAUCGGCAAUGGUAAACCUCUUGCUCUCGGUCUGAAACCUCACCACCCUUGUGUCAAACUCCUUGAACUGAGCCAGAUCGGAUUCGGUCGAUGUUGACGACACCGCCAUCCCUGAGUCUGAGUUUGAGGACUUGCCGACUUGCUUGCCCUUGUGGCUUCUGCUGCUCCCGGUUGCCAGAGUGAGCUCGAGGUCGCAUUCUUCUGCAGCAGAGGCAGGGGUGCAGCUGUUUGAGAAGCUGUAGAGUUGCUGACGGUCGGUAGCCUUGUCGUCGCGCCAGACCUCAAGUUUAUGUUUCGUCUCAGCGUGAGCCUGGUUCAGCCCAGCUAACUGCAUCUCCCUCAUCAGUUGUUUCUGAACAUGGUAAACUCGGUGCAUCUCAUGAACCUGGUUCAGCAAAGAUGUGCAAAUCGGUGAGAAGCUUUUUCGCCUAUCUUGAAGUGCACACAGCAAAUGCAGUACUGCUUCUUAGAGACUAGCAUUAAUGUCUCAACUACUUGCUUGUACUCUAUUUCUUCUUACAUAUGACUAUUCGUACCUCCAUCAAUUGGAUAUAUAAUAGGAUGCAGAGAGAGCAUGAUGCAACCUAUUAUUACUUAGGAAGUCACACUCACACCCUGCGCAAAGAGUUUCCCUUGUUUGCACGGUAGGAGACACCAAACUACAUGCUACCGAGGCUGGUUUGGACUAUAUUUUGGGAAUGAGUGGCAUCAGGAUAUAGCCUCUUUCAGGCUAGUGAGCUCGGUGGGCUACUACUUCAGCCAGAACCCAUGUCCAACCUGUCAGGACGGUAUUGGAUGGGAAGACGGCUAUUACUAUUAAAACAUGGGUAUGCUCACAUCUGUUGAUGCAUUGGAGAAAUUAACUUAUGUGUUAAGGUGUUGCAUGUUCUGGUUAGUUGCCCGGCUAUGGAGAGCUACAUACACACCCACGAAAUUGUCCAGGGAAAAGUUUGCGAUGAUGCCUACUCCCUGGCCGUAUACUGGAAGCGUGUCCAAUGUUCUACUGGAAGAUGCACACAUAGGUAGAAUGGUGUUUACCGAGUGUGCUGCCUUACCUGUUGUCUGAAUGUUUGUUCUUGCCCCAGGAUAACCAUCUUCAUCUCCUCUCUGUCCAUCUCUUGGAAAAUGCUAGCUGCAAGUCUUUCUGUGUCUAUCUCCAAUCUGUUUCAUGGGAAUAUCACAGUGAGUACCGCAUGCAAUUUCUGACUUAAAUGAUAAUAAUAGGAUCUAUGUUCAGUGUUGAAAUAUUUGUUGUAGUGCCUUGUUCCAUGAAUUGGUAGCUUUCAUUACAACCUAUGUGCUUAUGUCCUCCAGGAAGAAAAGAAAAACGCCCUGAUUUUUUUGGUUUUUGUGGAGAAACCAAUUUUAUUCAUUUGUUUUUCAGAUUGAACUUAUAGCUUACACCCUAAUACAACCGAUCAAAUCUAGUACUCCCUCCGAUCCAUAUUAAUUGUCCCUGAUUUAGUACAAUACUAAAUCAGCGACAAUUAAUAUGAAUCGGAUGGAGUACUGUAUUUCUCUAACUAAGUGAACGGCAUUCUGUUACGCUUCUGUCAACAACAGUAAAACUGUUCUUUCUAUGACAGGGUAGCAAAAUGGAUAGAGCUAUGAGGGAGACGGAGAAAGAAGUAGCUGGCAAAUUUCCUUUCAGACUAGCGCAUGCCACUCGGCCUUCCGGAAAAAUUCAUCGCAAAGAGCACUUGAGAAGAACACAAGGAUCUGCCUACUCUGAGCUCUGAAGCACGCCACAACAUGUUCCAUGGAAGAAGAAGAAACAAGACAAGAGAUCAGAAGAAGGCUGUGCCCACCUCUGUUUUGGUUUCCAGCCGCCUCCCAGAGAAGGUACUCCCUCUGCCUCUCCCAACGAAGCUCUCCUCUCUUACAGUUUGUUUACCAGGCCAGAGCUUUGCUUCUGCUGAGAUGCAAGCAAGCAAGCAAGCAGGUAGAUAUAGAUAUGAUUUGAGGCACCAGGGCGAGAGGGAGGCGAUGGAGGGGAUAUGAGAUUCUCUCCGGGCUGCCAUGAGCUUCACAGCGCAGCAGCUGGUGGGGCCUUUUUUGUAGGCAUGCCGAACGAAUCCAAGUCACUUUGGCCAAUGAGGUUCGAUUCCAUGUAUCUUGAUGUGUCAAAGAUGCUUCCGUCUGGUGCCAGGAAAAGGAUAGGCAUGAUGAUGAGAUAAGAAGCUCCAGCUACAGCUGAGUAUUAUAUUUUAAACAAACCUCAAAACUACUCAAAGCCUAUGUGUCCCCUGGUGUCUCUACACACUUGAAAUGCCUUGGUUUUAAUAAUGUUAUAUACACACAUGCACUUGGAUUGCCUGUCAGGGGUUAGAGAAACAGGUUUUCCUUAAUAUCAUUGUGGGUUUCCAUGUAAUGGUAUUAUUAAAGUUUCAUCUAUGAGAAUAUUUCUAGCAAUCACCCCGGUACACUAUCAAAUAUGUUGAGGGUAUGUGCUUUGUUUUUCUUUUUAAAAAGGAAGAUAAUCCAUGACCUUUGCAUUUCUUUUUGAAUUGUUUGAAUUGCUUAUCACAUACUCCCUCCG